This 498-nucleotide ribosomal RNA is filed under the name uncultured bacterium. RNAcentral's name for it is "partial 16S ribosomal RNA". It matches the Rfam family "Bacterial small subunit ribosomal RNA", at positions 28 to 507 of the family's 1533-position model. The record is from RNAcentral.
GACGAACGCUGGCGGCGUGCCUAAUACAUGCAAGUCGAGCGGACGGAUGGGAGCUUGCUCCCAGACCGUCAGCGGCGGACGGGUGAGUAACACGUGGGCAACCUGCCUGUAAGACUGGGAUAACUCCGGGAAACCGGGGCUAAUACCGGAUAACUCUUUCCCUCACAUGAGGGAAAGCUGAAAGAUGGCAUCUCGCUAUCACUUACAGAUGGGCCCGCGGCGCAGUAGCUAGUUGGUGGGGUAACGGCUCACCAAGGCGACGAUGCGUAGCCGACCUGAGAGGGUGAUCGGCCACACUGGGACUGAGACACGGCCCAGACUCCUACGGGAGGCAGCAGUAGGGAAUCUGCCGCAAUGGACGAAAGUCUGACGGAGCAACGCCGCGUGAGUGAUGAAGGUUUUCGGAUCGUAAAACUCUGUUGUCAGGGAAGAACAAGUACCGGAGUAACUGCCGGUAGCUUGACGGUACCUGACCAGAAAGCCACGGCUAACUACGUG